GACGAACCGUGCGAACGUUGUUCGGAAUCACUGGGCUUAAAGGGCGCGUAGGCGGACCUCCAAGUCCGGGGUGAAAUCUUUCGGCUUAACCGGAAAAGUGCCUUGGAUACUGGGGGUCUCGAGGGAGGCAGGGGCGGAUGGAACUUCCGGUGGAGCGGUGAAAUGCGUUGAUAUCGGAAGGAACGCCGGUGGCGAAAGCGAUCCGCUGGACCUCUACUGACGCUGAGGCGCGAAAGCCAGGGGAGCAAACGGG
This 253-nucleotide ribosomal RNA is filed under the name uncultured bacterium. RNAcentral's name for it is "partial 16S ribosomal RNA". It matches the Rfam family "Bacterial small subunit ribosomal RNA", at positions 524 to 776 of the family's 1533-position model. The record is from RNAcentral.